This 390-nucleotide ribosomal RNA is filed under the name uncultured bacterium. Its description in RNAcentral is "bacterial SSU rRNA". It matches the Rfam family "Bacterial small subunit ribosomal RNA", at positions 46 to 438 of the family's 1533-position model. The record is from RNAcentral.
GCUUUACACAUGCAAGUCGAACGGCAGCACGGGGGCAACCCUGGUGGCGAGUGGCGAACGGGUGAGUAAUGUAUCGGAACGUACCCAGUCGUGGGGGAUAACUAUCCGAAAGGAUAGCUAAUACCGCAUACGUCCUGAGGGAGAAAGCGGGGGAUCGCAAGACCUCGCGCGAUUGGAGCGGCCGAUAUCGGAUUAGCUAGUUGGUGAGGUAAAGGCUCACCAAGGCGACGAUCUGUAGCUGGUCUGAGAGGACGACCAGCCACACUGGAACUGAGACACGGUCCAGACUCCUACGGGAGGCAGCAGUGGGGAAUUUUGGACAAUGGGGGAAACCCUGAUCCAGCCAUUCCGCGUGAGUGAAGAAAGCCUUCCGGUUGUAAAGCUCUUUCA